Bombina bombina (fire-bellied toad) is the source of this 365-nucleotide long non-coding RNA. RefSeq lists it as uncharacterized. The transcript has 3 exons. The record is from RefSeq and is a predicted model, not a curated record. Lineage: Eukaryota; Metazoa; Chordata; Amphibia; Anura; Bombinatoridae.
GUAAAGGUUGAUGUAUCCAGAAAACACCUGUCUGUGUCCUGGAAGUACCCAAACACCUGGUCGAACCCUCACUCGUUCUUCCCUCUGUUGUUUCAGAUUAAACUUCAUUACCCAGACAACAAAACUGUGUUCCGUGUGGAAGAGACUCACAGUGUGAAUAUCAGCACUAAUAUCCUGUCACUCAAACUGCGCUGCAGGGAUCUGUAUUACAGGUCGGCUUGGAGUACAUGGAGCACUGAGAUCCGCAACCCAGCCUGGUGACACUGAGUCUUGCACCAUCAUGCCCAAUCUGCGAUAUGUGACAAGCACCCUGGGGAUCUUGUAAACCAUAAUCAUUUAUAAUAAAUCUAUUUAUUUUAUUGCAA